AUGGCACGUGCUGGAGGAAUCACAAACGCAGUUAACGUUGGAAUUGCAGUUCAAGCAGAUUGGGAAAAUCGUGAAUUCAUUUCUCACAUUUCCCUUAACGUUCGCCGUCUCUUCGACUUCCUUGUCCAAUUCGAGGCUACUACAAAGAGCAAGUUAGCAUCGUUGAAUGAGAAGCUUGAUGUAUUGGAGCGUCGUUUGGAGUUACUUGAAGUUCAAGUUGGAAAUGCUUCGGCAAACCCUUCUCUUUUUGCAACUUGA
Molecule: non-coding RNA, 258 nt
Organism: Vicia faba (fava bean)
Lineage: Eukaryota; Viridiplantae; Streptophyta; Magnoliopsida; Fabales; Fabaceae
Source: the annotation of a GenBank genome assembly